RNAcentral lists this transfer RNA (72 nucleotides) under Ictidomys tridecemlineatus (thirteen-lined ground squirrel). RNAcentral describes it as "Spermophilus tridecemlineatus (thirteen-lined ground squirrel) tRNA". It matches the Rfam family "tRNA". Rfam says of the family: Transfer RNA (tRNA) molecules are approximately 80 nucleotides in length. Their secondary structure includes four short double-helical elements and three loops (D, anti-codon, and T loops). Lineage: Eukaryota; Metazoa; Chordata; Mammalia; Rodentia; Sciuridae. The record is from Rfam by way of RNAcentral.
AGGGAUAUGGCUCAGUGGUAGAGUGUUCACCUACCAUGUGCAAGGCCCUGAGUUCAAUCCUCAGCACUCCAU